UUAAAUCCUUCCUGUACUA
Molecule: transfer RNA, 19 nt
Filed under: Crotaphytus collaris
Lineage: Eukaryota; Metazoa; Chordata; Lepidosauria; Squamata; Crotaphytidae
Also listed under: 1 other name
Description: partial tRNA-Met
Source: RNAcentral